RNAcentral lists this ribosomal RNA (279 nucleotides) under uncultured bacterium. Its description in RNAcentral is "partial 16S ribosomal RNA". It matches the Rfam family "Bacterial small subunit ribosomal RNA", at positions 506 to 784 of the family's 1533-position model. The record is from RNAcentral.
UGCCAGCAGCCGCGGUAAUACGAAGGGGGCUAGCGUUGUUCGGAUUUACUGGGCGUAAAGCGCACGUAGGCGGAUUGUUAAGUUAGGGGUGAAAUCCCAGGGCUCAACCCUGGAACUGCCUUUAAUACUGGCAAUCUCGAGUCCGGAAGAGGUGAGUGGAAUUCCGAGUGUAGAGGUGAAAUUCGUAGAUAUUCGGAGGAACACCAGUGGCGAAGGCGGCUCACUGGUCCGGUACUGACGCUGAGGUGCGAAAGCGUGGGGAGCAAACAGGAUUAGAUA